GAUGAACGCUGGCGGCGUGCCUAAUACAUGCAAGUCGAGCGAACAGACGAGGAGCUUGCUCCUCUGACGUUAGCGGCGGACGGGUGAGUAACACGUGGAUAACCUACCUAUAAGACUGGGAUAACUUCGGGAAACCGGAGCUAAUACCGGAUAAUAUAUUGAACCGCAUGGUUCAAUAGUGAAAGACGGUUUUGCUGUCACUUCUCGAUGGAUCCGCGCCGUAUUGGCUAGUUGGUACGGUAACGGCUUACCAAGGCAACGAUGCGUAGCCGACCGGUGAGGGGGAUCGGCCACAUUGGAACUGAGCCACGGUCCAGACUCCUAAGGGAGGCAGCAGUAGGGAAUCUGACGCAAUGGGCGAAAGCUUGACGGAGCAACGCCGCGUGAGUGAUGAAGGUCUUCGGAUCGUAAAACUCUGUUAUUAGGGAAGAACAAAUGUGUAAGGAAAUAUGCACGUCUUGACGGUACCUAAUCAGAAAGCCACGGCUAACUACGUG
This 497-nucleotide ribosomal RNA is filed under the name uncultured bacterium. RNAcentral describes it as "partial 16S ribosomal RNA". It matches the Rfam family "Bacterial small subunit ribosomal RNA", at positions 28 to 507 of the family's 1533-position model. The record is from RNAcentral.